This 164-nucleotide ribosomal RNA is filed under the name uncultured bacterium. Its description in RNAcentral is "partial 16S rRNA". It matches the Rfam family "Bacterial small subunit ribosomal RNA", at positions 355 to 511 of the family's 1533-position model. The record is from RNAcentral.
UAGGGAAUCUUCCACAAUGGACGCAAGUCUGAUGGAGCAACGCCGCGUGAGUGAAGAAGGUUUUCGGAUCGUAAAGCUCUGUUGUUGGUGAAGAAGGAUAGAGGCAGUAACUGGUCUUUAUUUGACGGUAAUCAACCAGAAAGUCACGGCUAACUACGUGCCAA